CAUCAUACCAUAUUUGCUUCAU
Molecule: microRNA, 22 nt
Filed under: Glycine max (soybean)
Lineage: Eukaryota; Viridiplantae; Streptophyta; Magnoliopsida; Fabales; Fabaceae
Description: gma-miR5670a
Source: miRBase by way of RNAcentral